Molecule: unclassified non-coding RNA, 94 nt
Filed under: Pseudomonas thivervalensis
Lineage: Bacteria; Pseudomonadati; Pseudomonadota; Gammaproteobacteria; Pseudomonadales; Pseudomonadaceae
Source: RNAcentral
UUUUGUGGGAGCGAGCCUGCUCGCGAUUGGAAUCGCCUCGGUCCGCCAGGCAGACCGAGUCGUUCGCAUCGCGAGCAGGCUCGCUCCCACAGGA